AGUUUGAUCCUGGCUCGAAUGAACGCUGGCGGCAGGCCUAACACAUGCAAGUCGAACGGAGUUAUAUUGUAGCUUGCUAUGGUAUAACUUAGUGGCAGACGGGUGAGUAAUGUAUAGGAAUCUACCUAGUAGUACGGAAUAAUUGUUGGAAACGGCAACUAAUACCGUAUACGCCCUACGGGGGAAAAAUUUAUUGCUAUUAGAUGAGCCUAUAUUAGAUUAGCUAGUUGGUGGAGUAAUAGCCUACCAAGGCAAUGAUCUAUAGCUGAUCUGAGAGGAUGAUCAGCCACACUGGAACUGAGAUACGGUCCAGACUCCUACGGGAGGCAGCAGUGGGGAAUAUUGGACAAUGGGCGAAAGCCUGAUCCAGCCAUGCCGCAUGAGUGAAGAAGGCCUUUGGGCUGUAAAGCUCUUUUAGUGAGGAAGAUAAUGACGGUACUCACAGAAGAAGUCCUGGCUAACUCCGUGCCAGCAGCCGCGGUAAUACGGAGAGGGCUAGCGUUAUUCGGAAUUAUUGGGCGUAAAGGGCGCGUAGGCGGAUUAGUAAGUUAAAAGUGAAAUCCCAAGGCUCAACCUUGGAAUUGCUUUUAAAACUGCUAAUCUAGAGAUUGAAAGAGGAUAGAGGAAUUCCUAGUGUAGAGGUGAAAUUCGUAAAUAUUAGGAGGAACACCAGUGGCGAAGGCGUCUAUCUGGUUCAAAUCUGACGCUGAGGCGCGAAGGCGUGGGGAGCAAACAGGAUUAGAUACCCUGGUAGUCCACGCUGUAAACGAUGAAUGUUAAAUAUGGGAAGUUUUACUUUCUGUAUUACAGCUAACGCGUUAAACAUUCCGCCUGGGGACUACGGUCGCA
RNAcentral lists this ribosomal RNA (849 nucleotides) under uncultured bacterium. Its description in RNAcentral is "bacterial SSU rRNA". It matches the Rfam family "Bacterial small subunit ribosomal RNA", at positions 10 to 890 of the family's 1533-position model. The record is from RNAcentral.